AGCGAACGCUGGCGGCGUGCUUAACACAUGCAAGUCGAACGUGAACGGGCUUCGGCCUUAGUAAAGUGGCGUACGGGUGAGUAACACGUAGGUAAUCUACCUUAGAGUCUGGAAUAACCUGCCGAAAGGCGGGCUAAUACUGGAUAGAGCGACGGAAUCCGUAAUUGGGUUUUUCGGGAAAGGGAGCUUGAUAAGAGCCCUCGCUUUAAGAUGAGCCUGCGUCUGAUUAGCUAGUUGGUGGGGUAAUGGCCCACCAAGGCGAUGAUCAGUAGCUGGUCUGAGAGGAUGAUCAGCCACACUGGAACUGAAACACGGUCCAGACUCCUACGGGAGGCAGCAGUGGGGAAUCUUGCGCAAUGGACGAAAGUCUGACGCAGCCACGCCGCGUGAGUGAAGAAGGCCUCGGUU
This 408-nucleotide ribosomal RNA is filed under the name uncultured bacterium. RNAcentral describes it as "bacterial SSU rRNA". It matches the Rfam family "Bacterial small subunit ribosomal RNA", at positions 29 to 424 of the family's 1533-position model. The record is from RNAcentral.